UGCGCAUGAACGGAGGCGUGAUGUACAGUGUGUGUCCGCCCCCUUUCCCUGCAGCCCCAUUCACGUGGCGGUCACGGUGACCAGCGAGCGCAGAAUUCCGCUGGACCCGUGAUGGAUGGAGUUCAACGAGAUUCAAAGCCAGAACAAUAUGUGAGUGAGCUGUCUUUCCCAGGAAGUCAAGGUCCAGACAUGAAGAUUCAGCCUCACAAGGCCAAACGCAGGCUGAAGAUGAAAACUAAUCAGAAAAGUCCAGACAGUCAAGGGAAAAGAAAUUCAGUCUUCAAGUCAAAAUGCAGGCUGGUGGGAAGGCACCAAGCAGCAUGGCCACAUGCUCCCCCUCCCCUACCUAAAACCCCAGCACAGGCUCUCCCUCCUCUACCUGAAACCCCUUACCUUCUUCCCUUCAAGGAGGUGGAUCUGAGUUCUAACUCCCAUCUCCUUGUCUGGCUGCCUUUUGAUAAUAAACCUCUUUCCUUGCCACAA
RNAcentral lists this long non-coding RNA (483 nucleotides) under Equus caballus (horse). RNAcentral describes it as "lncRNA (ENSECAG00000056597.1)". The record is from RNAcentral. Lineage: Eukaryota; Metazoa; Chordata; Mammalia; Perissodactyla; Equidae.